GGGCGUGUAGUAUAGGGGUUAUUGCGCUUGCUUCGCAUCAUCACGUGAUCCAACGCUGCGAGAGGUCUUGGGUUCGAUUCCCAACUCGUCCA
This is a non-coding RNA of Mycena polygramma, 92 nucleotides long. NCBI's taxonomy places the organism in Eukaryota, Fungi, Basidiomycota, Agaricomycetes, Agaricales, Mycenaceae. The record is from the annotation of a GenBank genome assembly.